GAUUAACGCUGGCGGCGUGCAUAACACAUGCAAGUCGAACGAUGAAACUUUAAUGACCCCUUCGGGGAGAAUUAAAGCGGAUUAGUGGCGAACGGGUGAGUAACGCGUGAGUAACCUGCCUUACACAAGGGGAUAGCCUUUGGAAACGAAGAAUAAUACCCUAUAAAACCAUAAAAGCACAUGCAAUUAUGGUCAAAGUGAUAGCGGUGUAAGAUGGACUUGCGUCUGAUUAGCUAGUUGGUGAGAUAAAAGCCCACCAAGGCAACGAUCAGUAGCCGGCUUGAGAGAGUGUACGGCCACAUUGGGACUGAGACACGGCCCAGACUCCUACGGGAGGCAGCAGUGGGGAAUUUUGCACAAUGGGGGAAACCCGGAUGCAGCGACGCCGCGUGAUUUAGAAGGCCUUCGGGUUGUAAAAAUCUUUUGUAUAGGAAGAAAAUGACAGUACUAUACGAAUAAGGUCCGGCUAAUUACGUG
Molecule: ribosomal RNA, 477 nt
Filed under: uncultured bacterium
Lineage: Bacteria
Description: partial 16S ribosomal RNA
Rfam family: Bacterial small subunit ribosomal RNA
Source: RNAcentral